Panicum virgatum (switchgrass) is the source of this 847-nucleotide long non-coding RNA. RefSeq lists it as uncharacterized. Lineage: Eukaryota; Viridiplantae; Streptophyta; Magnoliopsida; Poales; Poaceae. The transcript has 4 exons. The record is from RefSeq and is a predicted model, not a curated record.
GUCCCCUCGCACCGUCUUCCCGGGGCGACACCCUUUCCCUUUCCCACCCCGACACCAUUUCGUUUUCCUUUCGCUGCUGUGGGGGCGGUGUAGGGUUUGGGAGGGAGGGGGCAAAAUCGCGCCGGCGGCGGGGGAGAGCUUCGGCAGAGGAGUUCCCCGGCCGUGCGACAAGUGGCGGGACCGGCCGCCGACGCCGUGCUCCCGGUGUGCUUCCGCCAGCCUGCAGUUCUCCGUCUGCAUUGCCUCUGCUCUCUCCGUGGUCGUAACGAUUGCGUGUCUGUGCUCUCCUCCUCCACUGUUUCCGCUCCGGACGUUAGCUGCGUUCCUGGGGUCUCCAAGCCGUGUUCGGUGUUCGUGCUUCUGUCUGCACUGCUUCCACUGCAGUUGACUUUUGGAACCUAUGACAGCAUUCUUUUGGGUGUUCCAGCGUGAUGCACCACUUAUAGCAUUAAUCCAAAAUAUGGUUCGGAGGACGACUUUGUAUCAACUGUGCACACAAACUCUUUGAAACUAGCUUCAGAAUCAUCAUCAGCAUGCAGCAGCCAAGUCUCUCACCAGCCUGCUCCACUGAAGAUGGCGCUGCACAAGAACCUGCUGAACUCUCCAUGCUGGUUUCGCCUUUGUGUGUUUUGGUUGACCGAAAUUGCUGUUACAACUUACAACUGCAGUUCAUGACCUUUCUGGUCUGUACUAGCACAUAUUGCCCCAUCAUCACAGCUGUAGCUGUUGGAUGCGGCUAGGAAUUUGUGGAUGAACCUGUAGCCCAAUCGUAAAACUCUGUGUUGCCUAUGAUUCUUCUGACUGGAAAUCGUUUAUGAAGGCAGCAAUUUAUGCUAUGUUUUACACU